CUAAAAUGAAGUCAAGUGUUUUAAUUCUACUUUUGCUAAUAUAUACAUCACAGAAAAACAUGACACAUGGAAAAAAGGAUCCAAAAAAACCUGGGCUGGAGUUUGUCUUCUUCACAUCAUCUAACAAGAUUUACAAAGGGAGUAUCUCUGCAGUUGAUAAUGAGUACACCUCAUCUGUGUCCUACAGUGUUGCAGAAUUUAACUCUGUGGCCAAUGAAAUGGCAUGGUUUAAGGCUCAGAACUACUGCAGGAAUAUAAACUCAGAACUGGUAACUGUGGAUAAUGAAGAAGAAAAUCAAUUACUCAUAAAAAUAUCAGAAAAGCCAAAAUUUUGGAUUGGGAUGCAUCGCAAUGGUGACCAGUGGCAAUGGUCGAAUCAGGAUAAAGUUACAUAUUCAAAAUGGAAAAGAGAUUUCUUCUGUGCUUUUGUCCAUUCUGAUGGCUCGUGGGAUGAUUCAGUCUGUCAUGACAGUAAAAAAUUCAUGUGCUACAGCCAAACAAGUAACAUUAGAGAGAGAUUUGUCCUGAUAAAUGAGAAGAAGAAUUGGAGCGCAGCUCAGAACUUCUGUCAAGUACACUACAAAGACCUGGUCAGCAUAAGAAAUAAGAAUGAAAAUGAGGAGAUACUAAGGAAUGCGAAUGGCAAUUCAUUCUGGAUUGGACUGUUCAACAACCCCUGGAAGUGGUCUGAUGGAGGGAAUUUAACAUUUCAAAACUGGGACACCAACCAACCAGACAAUUUUGAUCGUAAUGAAGCAUGUGUGGAGAUUCUUAAAAAUGGAAGAUGGAAUGAUAAUAACUGUAAGAAACACAUGAAUUUCUCCUGCUUUAACAGGUCUAGUGUAUCCACAUCAUACUACUUUGUGCCUAAUUCAUUAUCCUGGCAAGAUUCUCAGAAAUACUGCAGUAAGAAUUAUACAGACCUGGUGACUAUUGAGAAUGAAACAGUAAAUCAGCAGGUAUUAGUACUGCCAGGACAAAGUUGUGGUUGGAUUGGUCUCCACCGUGAAAAUGACAAAUGGCUUUGGUCCAAUGGUGACCCUCUCACCUUCACAAACUGGAAGCGAGAGUUUUUCUGUGCUGUGCUCCAGUCAGAUGGCUAUUGGAAUGAUUCAGACUGCAGUCAAAAAAAACCUUUCAUGUGCUACAAUGAAACUAAUUAUUUUAAUCGUACAUAUGUUUGGAUAAAAGAGAGUAUGAACUGGAGCAAAGCUCAGAACUACUGUCAAGUGAACUACAGAGACCUGGUCAGUAUAAGAAAUGAGACUGAAAAUAUGGAGAUAAUAAAGAAAGCACAAAGCACUCCUUUUUGGAUUGGUCUGUUCAACAAUCCCUGGAAGUGGUCUGAUGGUGGGAAAUCAACAUAUCAAAACUGGGAAAAUUCACAACCAAACAAUUUUGAACUUCAUAAAAAGUGUGUGGAGGUGAAAGAUAAUGGAAAGUGGAGUGUUGAUGAUUGCAAUUCAACAAAGCCUUUCAUUUGCUCCAAGAUUAUCAUGAAUGUAACCUUUAUAAAUACAAGUUCAACUUGGGAAGAUGCUGUGGAUUACUGCAGAGCAAGGAAUUCUGAUCUCAUCAGCAUCUCAUCACAGCUGGAGCAGGAUGCAAUAGCUGCAUUGCUGAACAACACCAGUUCAUCUAGCGUGUGGCUGGGGCUAAGGCAGAGCCGUCUCUUUGGAUUCUGGUUGUGGAUUGAUGAAAAACCUUUGAGUUAUGAGAAGUGGGUCCAUAGACCUCCUUCACAGCUCCCUGCCUCCAGCCCUUGUGCUGUUAUGUCUCAAGAGAAGAAUUUCAGUUGGACUAAUGUUUCUUGUUCCGAAAAAUACAGAUUCAUCUGUAGGUAUCAAUAAAAUUAACCCUAACCCUAAUUUUAGUGUUUAUAAUUAUCUUCUUAUAUACUUCUAUAUACAGUGUUUGAAGUGAGACAGCACCUCUUCCUAUUUCAACAUAGCAUGACAGCACUAUUUCAUAGCAUACCAAUGAGUACUGGAAGCUCUUUGUAAAUUUUCAACGAACCGUUCUUCAAUCGAAUGUUGAUAUAUCCAUGUGUUUAGAGCUUACCUAGGGCACACAUCCCCAACCUGGCCACUUUGAUUGACUGUCAUUGUAUCAUGACAAUCUAAGUUUUCACCAUACCUACGCCUUUUCCACCCCCACCCAAAUCUUUGAUCGAAUCUUGGUAAAUUACCCUGAAAAGAGUACCACCACUUCAAGUACUGUUCAUAUCAAUGUUUUACUCUUUGCAGUGUUAUCAUACUUUACUUCUAUCAUUGCUGAACCCGGUUUCAGGCUGUUAUCUCUGGAACAGGUACAUUAGUGAGUGUGACUGAAAAUGUGGCCUGCAUUAGACUGGCAUUCAAAACAGUGAUGGCAUCCGUUUCCUACAUUUCUCUUGAGUUUGGCACUGGCUGAAAGAUGCUUGCUUCAGGUAAUGAAUAAUUGUAUAUUAUAGUUUACAAAGGACAUAUAAGUGAUAGAGAAAAAUGAGGCAAAAUAUUAUAUUCAAUGAAUGCAUUCUAAUGUAUAAUUUAUAUAUUCUUUUUCUAAAUGUAACUGAUUAUCUUUAAUAAACUGUUCCUU
Erpetoichthys calabaricus (reedfish) is the source of this 2580-nucleotide RNA transcript. It is a transcript of the gene named macrophage mannose receptor 1-like, with no coding region annotated. NCBI's taxonomy places the organism in Eukaryota, Metazoa, Chordata, Cladistia, Polypteriformes, Polypteridae. The record is from RefSeq and is a predicted model, not a curated record. The transcript has 9 exons.